AACUCUGUUAUCAGGGAAGAACAAAUGUGUAAGUAACUGUGCACAUCUUGACGGUACCUGAUCAGAAAGCCACGGCUAACUACGUGCCAGCAGCCGCGGUAAUACGUAGGUGGCAAGCGUUCUCCGGAAUUAUUGGGCGUAAAGCGCGCGUAGGCGGUUUUUUAAGUCUGAUGUGAAAGCCCACGGCUCAACCGUGGAGGGUCAUUGGAAACUGGAAAACUUGAGUGCAGAAGAGGAA
Molecule: ribosomal RNA, 238 nt
Filed under: Staphylococcus warneri
Lineage: Bacteria; Bacillati; Bacillota; Bacilli; Caryophanales; Staphylococcaceae
Description: partial 16S ribosomal RNA
Rfam family: Bacterial small subunit ribosomal RNA
Source: RNAcentral